Molecule: long non-coding RNA, 1236 nt
Organism: Hypomesus transpacificus
Lineage: Eukaryota; Metazoa; Chordata; Actinopteri; Osmeriformes; Osmeridae
Exons: 4
Source: RefSeq, a predicted model, not a curated record
ACCGAUUUUAUGGGAACACUUUCCAACACUUGAUCGUUCUCUGGAGGAGCCUCCCCUCUCGCUGUAGCAGUGCUAUUAAUGAAUACGAAAACAGAAGAAGUGUCAGUCCAGUUUCAGGAAGUAGCAUGUGCCUGCAGCACCGGAAGCUGCAGUUCUAGGACCGCAGUUCUAGGACUCUAGAUUUCCGUGACACUGCCACCUAUUGAAUUGGAUAACCAUGGACUGGAACAAGAUAAUCAAUAUUAUCCUGCAGUAGUGAAUGCCCAUAAGAGUGAAUGUAGGUUAUGGCUCGAUAUGAAUAAGAUUAGAAGAAAAAAGGAAUGCAGUUUAUUUUAUAAGAUGGGCGAGAAUCAGAGUAUGCAUAUAACCAUCCAAGACGGAAGGUCCUUUCCAGAAUUAAAACGAUGCACCACGUGCUGCAUGGACUUCCACUGCCCUUUCUGUCUUUCUCAUUUGUUUCAACCUACAAAACUGAGCAAGGUCACCACCCAUCUAGAGAGCCAUUUCAAUCGGUCAGUUUUCCAUAAAGGAUAUACCGUUCACAAAUGUGGCUUAAAUUGCAGACCACAAUUGCAUUACCACUGCAUCUACUGCCAGUCAAUGCUUUCACGCAAACCAGACUUCAUCAAACACUUGGCUUUGUGCAAGGAGAAAUACCUUUCCAUAUCCACCAUCCCAGCUCCAACAAGGACCACCAUCCCAGCUCCGACAAGGACCACUAUAGAUACAUUAUACCUUUCUAUAUAAUUGCCUCAUCUAACAUCACAUAUGCUGACAAAGCCUCCAUAGCCUCAUCCAAGUGUAUUGUCACUAAACACUGACCAGUCUGUGUCAUCAAAGCAGUUCCUGAGAUAUAUGGUUGUCUUUACCUAACAAUGAGCUAAUGACACUGAUUGCCAAACAUACAACUGUUAAUAACCAAGUUGUUUUUUGCCUCAAACCAUUCAAAUAUCUUGUUGCGGUCUAGUGACCCUGCCUUUCAUCAUCCAAUUCACGAGAUGACGCUGUCAGGUGAAACUAGGGUCCUAGAACUGCGGUCCUAGAACUGCUGCCUCUGGUACUGCAGGCACAUGUAGAUUAGGCACAAGUUCCAAGUUUAUAACCAUUUGCAACAAGUUCAGAUAACUUUGAAAUGUUUAGUCAAGCUCCUCUUGACCACCCCAGCAGCCUAUCAAAACUUGUAAUAACAACAUCUAGUUGUACAAAUAAAUACACUCCAUACCACAAAUGUAUUUA